ACAUGGAAAUAUAGAACAUUGCAUGAAAUAUGGAUAUAAAGAACAUGGAAUGAAACGUGGAAAUAUAUAACAUGAAAUUAAUCAUGGAAAUAUAGAACACGGAAUGAAAUAUGGAAAUUAAGAUCAUGGAAUAAAACAUAAUAAUAAAGAACAUGGUAUGAAACAUGGAAAUAUAGAACAGGGAAUGAAAUAUGGCAACCAAAGAAAAGAACACACAAUAGAACAUAGACUAAUGGGUAACAUGGAAUGUGUCGAAUAAAAUUUGUAACAAAUUAUAGAACAAGCAAAGAACAUAAUUCAUUCUGAGAACAUAAAAUACAACUUUGCCAUGGUAACAAAGUUCCUUAGCGUAUGCUAAUGCCCUUGACAGUCACCUUACACUUGACAACUUAAUGCCAAUGUUUCGGCGUGUAAUCAUUAUGGGAAUCACUAAAGCGGAUUCUAAUGGCGUCUGGCAAACGGAAAUUGUAUUGAAAAUCGCCUUAACCUCCGCCACAAGCUUGCCACAAAGUGCCUUGCAUACGAGCGAGUGCCACAAAAGUAGCCCAGACCAAUAUUCUAAGGCCGCUGAUGCCGCGCUGUUGAUUUGUCGAUUUGUGCGAUGCCAAAAGCAGAUUUCAUAGAUCGCCAAAUACAAGUAAUAAUCGCACACAUACAGAAAACAGAAUUGUUUUGACUAAUUGUCUCUCUAUCUGUAUCUAUGAAGUUGAAGUCGUGCGCGAGCGAUGAUUGAAUGUGAACAGAGAUAUAUCUGUGAGGCUGAGGCUGAGGAAGCCUUGAAGCAUUUUUGCAGAAAACUCUAUCGUCAAAUUCAAUUAAACUUAAAUACUUGUCGAAUCAAUUUGCCUCAUAACUUUUUCAUAUGUAUACACAUUUUCAAAACACACUUACCCCCCGGUAUAUUUGUUUUGCAUUGAGCCCGGUUUAUUUAUCUGCGAUCGAAAACAACCGAAAUUCAAAGUUGAACGCCGAUCAUCAUCAAUAUAUUUUAUUUCUCGCAUUGUUUGCGGCUAUUGUGUGAGCGUACUGCGGCUAAUUGCUUCCUUGAAAGUUGAAGUGAGGGAGACGGAAAUCGGAAGUGCAACUCUCUUUAGUUGUCCCUUGGCUUUGGGCAUAAACGUUGGCAAUUUGGAGACGUGACAGCCGAAAGCAAAGCUCGACACAUUCGCGCACGCGCACCGCGAAAAUUUACGAGACUGUGGCAAAUGGGCGACAAAUUAUGCCAAAUGAAAAGAGGCGUGACCACAUUGGCAUUUAUGCUCAUUUGGCUUGCCUUGGAAAUGCUCUGAGCAGCGUUAAAUUCACUGAAAACGGUAGUCGAAACACCUAGAGACCGACAGACCGACAGAGCGGGAGAUCUACGAGCUCCGAGAAGUCUGGAUGGAUGGAGAGAGAACUCUGGAGCUUCCAACGCUUGCGGCUGGAUUGUUGAGUAAAUAUGUCAGUCUUGACUUGGAUAACCCUUAACUUUUUCGUCGUGGCUUUUUUGAGUAAUUGGGCGUAAACUUGGCCCAGCUACCGGGCUCUGUCUUGGUUGUCUCUCGUGUCCAACACUUGGCAACAACCUGGGGCAUAUGAUUAAUUUGGCUUGUCGAAACUGAUGCAAAUUUUCAGCGUUUUGGCUUGCGGCAUAGUAAACCCGGAGCUAUUUGCUUUACGGUUCAGUUUCAUUCAUGGAUAGACGGAUGAAUGUAGAUGUAGUGUUAUGUAAACACUCGAUUCAAAUUCGCACAGUAUAUUUUGUCUUUCAUUGUCUCUUAUUUUUUUUUUUUUGUUGUGCUGUGUGUAAAUGCAAAAUCAAAAUUUAUGCAAAUUUCAAAUAACAAACAGAACAGAACCCAGUGAAAAAUAUAUCUUUAAAUAUAUUUACAGUUAAAGGCGGCAGCAUCAUCGUUGUUUAUUUUUCGUUUUUUUUUUCGUCUUGUUCGUUUUGUAUUUAAUUUUUUGCAUUGGGUUGGGAAAGUGCCCCAAAGCCGAGCACGAAGUUCACUGAACCUCUCGCGUUCAUAUCGAAAGAUGUUUAGUGGCAACUGGUGGCAACAACAACUGGUGGCAAUAGCAGCUGUUGGUGGUGUUGGUGGUGGCAUUCAUUAAGGAAACAUAAUUCUAAUUUUAAUUCUAAUGCCACCGUUGUCGGACCGUUUGACGGGAGUGUCUUUUACUUUUAAUUAUAUUUCAGUUUCAGUUGCUGAGAACAGCAACAACAACAACAACCAAAAAAAGUGAACUCAAAGCCGCAGUUCAACUGUUACGUCUUUAAAUGAUGCCCGGGGUCGCAACUCAGACCUUAAGGUUUUGCUCUUAACUUAUUACGUUCGUUGCGGUCAAAGUCGUCGUCUUCUUUUUUUUUAUCUAAUCAUCUGCAUGCGAUCGUCAGCCCAAAAUACGCAACGUCCAGCUAUAAAUGUUAUGAAUAAGCGGAGCUUAAUUUGGAGAGCUCCCUAGAAGAGAAGCGUUUAUAGUUUUAUUCAACCAUAGAACAGCAGCAUAAACUAGUGGCAGUUAAGUUGGCAAAGUGUUCUAUUCUUAUGCUAUUCCCGCAGCUUUUGUUUUUUUCUCAACUUUAUUCGAGAUUCAUUUGGCAUUUGCACGCAGAUGACGCAGCGUAUAAACUUAAUAUCAUCGGUCAGCACAUAAAUCAUUCACGACAACGGGUGACAAUAAAUUUUCCUCUCUUUUAAGAAUACUCGUAUCUGUCGGCUAGUUAAACGCACUUUUUGAAGUUCUAGUCGCUUUAAUAGUUUUGUUGAUUUUAAUUAAAAUAUAAAACGAUGACAUGCGAUGCGAUGCGGCUUAAAAUAAAUGUACAAAGCUUUUAACCAGAAUUUAUGCAAACAAUUGCUAUGGAGAGACAAGCCUAACAAAAGUCUAGUCAUCUAUUUUGAUUUGUCUGUAAGUGAUAACACAUUAUAUUUUGGUAUAUUUUGUGAGUCAUUUCUAUUAAAUUUAUAAACACACUUCGCCGAAUUUGGGGGAAAAAAACUUUCUUUUAUUCCCACUUCUUUGCUUUCGAUUGACUCUUAAAUGUUAAAUAA
Long non-coding RNA from Drosophila sulfurigaster albostrigata, 3035 nucleotides. RefSeq lists it as uncharacterized. The transcript has 3 exons. The record is from RefSeq and is a predicted model, not a curated record. Lineage: Eukaryota; Metazoa; Arthropoda; Insecta; Diptera; Drosophilidae.